This 200-nucleotide ribosomal RNA is filed under the name uncultured Bacillus sp. Its description in RNAcentral is "partial 16S ribosomal RNA". It matches the Rfam family "Bacterial small subunit ribosomal RNA", at positions 530 to 733 of the family's 1533-position model. Lineage: Bacteria; Bacillati; Bacillota; Bacilli; Caryophanales; Bacillaceae. The record is from RNAcentral.
GGUGGCAAGCGUUGUCCGGAAUUAUUGGGCGUAAAGCGCGCGCAGGCGGUUUCUUAAGUCUAUGUGAAAGCCCACGGCUCAACCGUGAGGGUCAUUGGAAACUGGGAAACUUAGUGCAGAAGAGGAAAGUGGAAUUCCACGUGUAGCGGUAAAUGCGUAGAGAUGUGGAGGAACACCAGUGGCGAAGGCGACUUUCUGGU